GACUUUACUCAGCCUUGAGACACAGCUCUAGCGAUGACUCUGCUAUCUGGAAACUGUUUUUUCCCCAGCAACAUUUUGAUCUCGGGUCAAAGCCUUGGGCAAGGGACUGCUGCUGCUGCUGCUGCUGCUGCUGCUGCCUCUCGGGGCGCUGCAAUGGUUUCACCAGAGACAGAUUGUUGCAUCGCUGCUUGAGUAUCAUUGACUUUUAUCCUACUAACCACUUCGGAGAAUUGUCACAGGAACUACACAGCCUGUAAUCUCAGCACUUGGGAGCCUAAGAUAGCAGGAUCGCUGGGAGUCUGAGGCCAGCUUAUGCUACAUGGUGAGUUCAAAGCCAGCCCGAA
This 344-nucleotide long non-coding RNA is filed under the name Cavia porcellus (domestic guinea pig). Its description in RNAcentral is "lncRNA (ENSCPOG00000038132.1)". Lineage: Eukaryota; Metazoa; Chordata; Mammalia; Rodentia; Caviidae. The record is from RNAcentral.